GCGACUGAGACGAAACGACACUCACCUUUACUUAAUGGAAGGCUUCGCUUACAUCCUGAACUUAAAGGAACUACAGAAAGGGACAGAAACUGCUUUCUUUUUAAACAAUGCGCUGAAAGGUUACUAGUGAUAGGAGGCUUAGUGAAGCGCGUGAUGUGAACGGCCACGCUGCAAGGCUGGAGAGAAAAGAGGAGGGAGUGAAGUUGCACCCUGAUCGCGAAUCCUCGGCCUUUUAUCAGGGGCGCCGCCACUCGGGGUCCGACCAUUCGCCUCCAACGAGGGGACAGCGAAUCUGCUGUCGUGUGCAGUCCACAGCAACCACAGGUGGGGCAACAGGAGGAGCGCUUGGGCACGACCACGUGACCCAGCACGAGCCACCGCCCGCCCCAAAAUGAAAUCAAAUCCUAAUCUCCCAAUCCCGGCAUGCCGGUCACUCCAGCCUUUCCAGGAGACUUGCGGCCGUGCAGCCCCUACACCUUUAUCUGGACUCCUGUCGUACUUGGCCCAGCUCCACUGGAUUCAGCCCUUGGAUAACCACCCUACCAGCCCCUAAAGAUGACUCCAUCCCCGUCGGUAUAGUUAAUUAAAGAAAAACAGGAGUCGAAUUUUCCUGGGGUAACUGGUUCUUUAGCAGGAGGGGAGCACUGGGGAGUAUCUUCAGGGUGGCUGGACUUUGCAGCCUCUUUAAUAACUUCCCCCUGUGCAGGUUGUAUCCUUUAUCACCCCACCCCGAUGCCCCGGUCUUCAGGAAAUGGCAGCAGGCCCAUAUUUCUGUAGGGUUCAGAGUUCUGUGAGGUAGAGCAUUCCUUCCAAUGGGAUCUUAGAAUUCCUAGAGUUGCAGAAUUUUACUGACUAGACCCAGGAGGUCUCAGGAGUCCAGACUUGCUUAAAGCUUGGCUCAAAAUUCCAAGGGAGCUCAUAACUCCAUGGGGCCCAGAGUUCCUGGCUCGGGAACAUUGGGAGGCCUGGGAUACAGUGCCUUAGCCUCAAGCAGAAAAGUGAACACAAUAUCUUUAUGGCUUGAAGGUAUAUGAAAUAAUGUCACUACAUCGGAGCAGCGCCUCUGCUUGCACACCUAUGGGAGUCUGCAGCUGUGACACGUAGAAGUUGGCCACAUCCAGGUCGGUGGCUCCAAAGUGGGCGGCCACACGCACACCCUCGUGCAACGUGAAGCUCACCUGAUGACCCACCAUGGCCAGCAGGCUGCGGAGGUAACGCUCCCGAAGGGCGGCUCGUGCCCGCUGCUCCUGGGAUUCCAGGGAUUCUUGAGCUAUGGGACACUCCUGGAUUUCAGGAACCUCUGGCCUCAAGGGGGCUCUGCGUCCAUCAGGGGCAAAGCCACGGCUGAAGCCAUCAGGGCCCCGGGGCAGCCGGAGCACAGGCACGGGAAUGUUCACUGGAGUUUGCAUUGUCUUGGCUGUUGAGUGAAGAAAAAGAGCAGGAAGUCAUUACAUGGCUCUUCCUGUCUCUGCACCUGAACUGUGAGCCCCUUGCAAGACAGGACCCUGCAGAUAGACCAAGGAUGUGAACCAGGGCUACUCAGUCUGGACACUAUUGACAUUUGGGGCUGGAUAAUUAUCUGCUAUGUUGUGGGGGCUGUCCAACGCAUAGGUGUAGGGUUUGAGCAGCAUCCUAGCCUCUGCCUCCUAUUAAUAGAUGCCAGUAGCAUCCCAUCUUCAAGUUGUGACAGCCAAAAAUGUCACCACUGGUGAACAGUGAAUUGGUGAAUGUGAAUUGCAUCUCAAUACAGUUUUUUUUUAAAGUCUCCAUGAAUUGCCAAACGUCUCCUGAUGGCCCCAAAUGAAACACUGAUGCAGACAAACAGGUCACAAAGAGGGAGGAAGGAAUAAAGAUGGCUAUAGAAGACAUGAACAUAGGCUGGGCACAGUGGCUCCCGCCUGUAAACCCAGAACUUUGGGAGGCCGAGGCAGGCGGAUCACCUGAGGUCAGGAGUUUGAGACCAACCUGGUCAACACGGUGAAACCCUGUCUGUACUAAGAAAUACAAAAA
Long non-coding RNA from Homo sapiens (human), 2010 nucleotides. Ensembl annotates it as GEMIN7 antisense RNA 1. Its record names the gene GEMIN7-AS1. The record is from Ensembl. Lineage: Eukaryota; Metazoa; Chordata; Mammalia; Primates; Hominidae.